RNAcentral lists this long non-coding RNA (1930 nucleotides) under Malus domestica (apple). Its description in RNAcentral is "long non-coding RNA (MDOM_LNC011988)". Lineage: Eukaryota; Viridiplantae; Streptophyta; Magnoliopsida; Rosales; Rosaceae. The record is from RNAcentral.
AGAAAUUGCUCAAUCUAUAUAUGACUACUUGACUGAGCUCUCUGUCAGAGUGAGAGCCUUUACUAAAAACAGCGUCCUAAUUUCAACCCAUCCCGACUUCUCACUUUACUUGUUCUUUCUGAAAGAGCUCCAAACCCUAGCAUCCAUGGCGCCACUGGCCCUUGCUUCGGCUUAGGCUAGUGGCACCCUCUCCUCUCCUCCUCCUAGCCUCCUCCCCACCUUCCUACACCUUCCUCAGCCGUCUUUCUUGAUGUCCUCUUCUUUUUUCUUCCUUUCCUCCACCGCUCCAAAUCGGCUCCGCCGGUUUGUGGGUCCUUGGCAUGCCUUUUCGUUUGUGAUCACCACUCAAAUCUCUGAGUUUUUGUCUUAGAUCUCUACCCACUUCUCACCCAGAAGCUGCUCUCUGCCUCCCCAUUUUCCCUCACCUUCGCACCCACUUUUUCGUCCUUCCUCUGGCUCCCACUCUUCUUUUCCAACUCUUAACCACGAUUUAGAUCAUGGAGUUUUGGGCUCUUCUUUUACUCAAGACCAAGCCUUCCCAUCCCACUGCCGAACAGGCUUGCAGGAAAAUUUGGGCGAAGUGUGGAACGAUUUUCUUCGGAACAAGGGUGUUUUACACACCCCCUUUGCCCUCCCCCUCCUCCUGUUACAUUUUGUGACAUUCCUUGCAGGUGUGGAUGUGGAGGCUUUGUUUCUUGGUGGACAGAUUCUGCACAACCCUCUCAGAUCAAGUUUAUGGUUCGGGUUUUCUUUUUCUUUUAGGGCGACGGAUUUUAUUGCAGUGGAAGCUGCGGUGGCGACAGCAGCGGUCUUUUAGAUGUUGAAGAUUAGGGUUUUUGUUGCUUUUCUGCUUUUACUGCCUACGAGCCUAAUGAUGUAUGGGUCUCCCUUUGUGUUUUGGGUUGGUGCUCUACUUGGUUUGGGUUUGUUUUACCUUUUAUGUCCUGCUUUGUUUUAUGUAAGGCUUUGUAUUUUGUUUGAACUUAGGUCCAUCUCUCACAAAUUGUAUUUUCCCUUACAUUAAUGGAAUGUUUUCUUUGUCCCAAAAAAAAAUGACUACUUGACUAUGACUACUCUCCCUCUAAUCUUUGUCCAUGUCCACAAAUGAUAUCUCUCCACAUAUCUAUGUAUUCCACACCUCAACUCACAAAAUUAUUAAUUAAUUCGAAUUCUAGUAUGGGAUGACAAUUUCAGAAUUUUUGGUUAAAUAUAUUCAGUUUUUCUUACUGCUUAGUUGUAUGAGAAAUAAAUUGUGAAAAUUGACUUUAAAAGAUCGAACAAUGAAAAAUAUUUAAAAAGUCAGACUACUUGGUAGACUAUAUUAUCAAAGACAAUGGGUUCUUACGCAUUACCUUUGCUUUCUCUUAGGCUGGCGAUGUUAAUCCUCAUUCUUUAGCUUUGUCUAUUCGUUCUAUUUUUCUCACUCUAUCAUAUAUUUCCAAUGUAUCACAGACAAAAUCUGUAUAAUAUCUCUUUAUAUACCAUGAUUGACAGAUGACAACGUGAAUUCUUAAUAAUAGUAUCAAGAUCCAUCAGAUGUACACAAAAUUUUGUUGAAAGGAUAUUAUUUGUUUUUGGAAUGACAGAAAUGGAUAAACCAGUUCUAAAUCUUAAAUGAGAUAACACAUAAUCUCAAUGCCACAUAUCAACACACCCACAACCACAUGACUGUCCUAUAUUAUUAGUAACCUAACAAUACCAUUAGGAUUGGAUAACCAAAAUUUAUGUGGAAUAUUUUUACUCGACACCUUCAGGUGACGAUAAUGCUCACCAUAGGUGAAUUUAAAUUGGAAGAUUAUGGAGAUAUGUGUAUUAAAUAGAAAUAAAUAAUAAAAUUUAAACUCAUCUAACGAUGAUAAAUAAGGUGUGAGCAAAAAUGCAUCCAAGCACAAAAUUUUGAAAGAUAAAAAAAAGUAAAGAUAAAAAAGAA